CGUAGGUGGCAAGCGUUGUCCGGAUUUACUGGGCGUAAAGAAUGCGUAGGUGGAUAUUUAAGUGGGAUGUGAAAUCCCCGGGCUCAACCCGGGAACUGCAUUCCAAACUGGAUAUCUGGAGUGCAGGAGAGGAAAGCGGAAUUCCUAGUGUAGCGGUGAAAUGCGUAGAUAUUAGGAGGAACACCAGUGGCGAAGGCGGCUUUCUGGACUGUAACUGACACUGAGGCAUGAAAGCGUGGGGGAGCAAACAGGAUU
This 255-nucleotide ribosomal RNA is filed under the name uncultured bacterium. Its description in RNAcentral is "partial 16S ribosomal RNA". It matches the Rfam family "Bacterial small subunit ribosomal RNA", at positions 526 to 779 of the family's 1533-position model. The record is from RNAcentral.